Long non-coding RNA from Ziziphus jujuba (common jujube), 1031 nucleotides. RefSeq lists it as uncharacterized. The transcript is spliced from 4 exons. The record is from RefSeq and is a predicted model, not a curated record. Lineage: Eukaryota; Viridiplantae; Streptophyta; Magnoliopsida; Rosales; Rhamnaceae.
ACCGUAGAUCCAAAGUCCCUCGCCCAAUUUUGCGGGUAGCUAGCCCACGCUCCAUUCAAUUUUAGUCUGUGUCAAUGGUGGAAAUUGAACCAGCGCAACCACCCCCAACCUUUCCCAAAUUCGGCAUCCAACAUUUGUUGGAGCGUUACACUCAGAACGGCGAUCGAGCGGAGAGACGUUUGCUGUGGUCUGAUCGGUGUAGAGCGACGCAGUCCGCGACCACUUACCGCUACGGAAGGGGACGGCGGGGCGCUGAUGAGGAGCUUCCUUCUUGGAUGAGAGGAAGAGGUGUAGGAGAUAGUCAAAUAGUGAUGACCUGGAUGGAGAGGAAAGGCUUGAAGAAUGGGAGAAUGUGGGCAAUGCGUGAAGGAGUUUGUGAGACUCUUUGAGGAGGUCUGCGUCUCCCCGCUUGCUUGCAAUGCUAUCUGCUACUCCUUCCAUUCCUCCUGUUUCUUCUCCUGUGUUGUUGUGUGCCAAUAAUCAGUAGCUUUCUGGGAUACAACAUGAACAUAGGUCCGAUGACAGAGGAGCAUCUGAUGAUCAAAUUUCUCAGCUAGUCAUUUGGAAAUAUAAAGGAAUUGACACCAAGUUAGGACAUGGAAAUGAUACUGACUGCAUUUUAGGCCCUGCCAAUGAAGAUCCGGAAUGCUGUAUUUGCGUAGCCAAGUACAGAGAAAAGGAAGAACUGAGAAAGUUGCCCUUUCCCAUAUGUUUCAUCUCUAUUGUGUGGAUCAAUGGCUCAAACUCAUAUCAUAUUGUCCUCUUUGUAAACAAGAACCAGAGAGAUAGACACUGGAUUAUUUUGGAUCUGUUUUUCGUUUUUUGUUUUCUUUGAAACAUUCUCUUUUGUGUGUUUUAAUAUACUUUUUUAUAUGGUUACUUGGUGAGUUUAUGUUCGUACAAUUGAGCUCACCGGUAACAAAAACCAUACCUGAGAGUCCAUAAUCAUCUUUGAGCACACCCCACAAAAAUAGCAGGAGAUGGUGUUGGAACUUUUCACUCCCUCAGCACUCCAAGACUUUACAAUACAU